GGGAAUGUGGCUUAGUGGUAAAGUGCUUGCCUAGCAUGCUUGAAGCCCCGGGUUCGAUUCCUCAGUACCA
Molecule: transfer RNA, 70 nt
Filed under: Dipodomys ordii (Ord's kangaroo rat)
Lineage: Eukaryota; Metazoa; Chordata; Mammalia; Rodentia; Heteromyidae
Rfam family: tRNA
About the family: Transfer RNA (tRNA) molecules are approximately 80 nucleotides in length. Their secondary structure includes four short double-helical elements and three loops (D, anti-codon, and T loops).
Source: Rfam by way of RNAcentral